UACGUAGGUGGCAAGCGUUGUCCGGAAUUACUGGGUGUAAAGGGCGUGUAGACGGGGAUGCAAGUCAGAUGUGAAAUUCCAGGGCUCAACCCUGGCGCUGCAUCUGAAACUGUGUCUCUUGAGUGCUGGAGAGGAAAGCGGAAUUUCUAGUGUAGCGGUGAAAUGCGUAGAUAUUAGGAGGAACACCAGUGGCGAAGGCGGCUUUCUGGACAGUAACUGACGUUGAGGCGCGAAAGCGUUGGGAGCAAACAGG
Molecule: ribosomal RNA, 253 nt
Filed under: uncultured bacterium
Lineage: Bacteria
Description: partial 16S ribosomal RNA
Rfam family: Bacterial small subunit ribosomal RNA
Source: RNAcentral